This is a non-coding RNA of Phascolarctos cinereus (koala), 516 nucleotides long. Lineage: Eukaryota; Metazoa; Chordata; Mammalia; Diprotodontia; Phascolarctidae. The record is from RefSeq and is a predicted model, not a curated record.
AAAGAAUAACACAUACACAGCUUUCUUCAUAUACCCAACAUUCAAUAAUCAUCUGGUUUUUGUCUUUUUUUAGUGUAUUAUCUGACCACAAGUGUUUUAUGUGACCACAAAGCCAUCUGGUUGGUUUCCUUGCCUGGAGUCUCUGCUUACUAAAAGCCAUCCUCCAUUCUGCUUCCUAGAUGGCUUUUCCAAAGUCGGGGAGGGCUUGAUCAUGUGACCUCCCUGCUCAAUGACAGUCCAGUGACUUCCUAGCAUCUUCAGGAGUCAGUCUACUCUUCCCAGAGGCUAGUCAUGGAAAGUUCCUGGGCCAAGCACACAGAUAAUCAGUGCUCUUGUGAGAAGGUUCAGCUUCAAGAAUCAGACACGAAAGAUCCCCACUGACCGACAGUACGCCUGGGCCUGGGCAGGGAGGGAGCUAAUCCAUAAGGGUCUAGGUUUUGGCUGGAAGCAGAAAGGGUUCUGAGUGGAGGCGGCAUGGGGCAGCUUUACUGGGAUUCCAUCAAGUUGACUCUAAAU